This is a long non-coding RNA of Oryzias melastigma (Indian medaka), 564 nucleotides long. RefSeq lists it as uncharacterized. The record is from RefSeq and is a predicted model, not a curated record. Lineage: Eukaryota; Metazoa; Chordata; Actinopteri; Beloniformes; Adrianichthyidae. The transcript is spliced from 2 exons.
GGAGAGAGCGUCCGAUUUCUUCUUCAGCAGGUUGCGGCCGGUCUGGGCUCCUUUCAGCCGAGCCUUCAUGAUGGUCUGAGCCCUGCAAACACAGAGAGAGCAAAAUACUUGAAAUAUGCUUUAGAAAAGGUUUCUCUGCAAAAGAUGGGAGGAGCUAAACAUCUACUUACAUGCAAGUAAUUUGUCUUUUUUUUUAUUUAGUCUGCAUUUUUUGGUUUGUGUGUUAAUUCCUUCACACACCAUAUUCAAUUUUCUCUGAACUUUGUUUUUGCAGUCAAUAAAUUUGCAAUUCUAAAAUGAUUUAGCAAAAAAAAAUGUAUAAAUGACGAGAUUAAUAUUUUUUUUAUAUUGCAACUCAAGGGCACUUUAAACAAAACUACAAUUAAACUAAGUUUUGUACAAGAUGAAAAGCACAAAAAGAUAUUAAAAGCUGCAAAAGUAAACCACUAAAUUGCAGAAAAAUCUAGAAUUUGUAAAGUUCUAAUAAAUAUAAGAAGAAAAUAAGCAUUUUCAGAGUCAAAGAUCAUAACAGGUGGGUUGCAUUGUUAAAAAGAAAAAAAAAAA